Molecule: non-coding RNA, 4571 nt
Organism: Danio rerio (zebrafish)
Lineage: Eukaryota; Metazoa; Chordata; Actinopteri; Cypriniformes; Danionidae
Source: RefSeq, a predicted model, not a curated record
UCUCUUUAUAAGGGACAGUUCAGGUCAUCUCAUGGCCUGGACACUCGUCAUCAUGGCUCUGAAUGUUAGCUGUUGUUGGAAAGGGCUCCUCCUGAACUUUUUCCUCUUCGUCUGCGUCCAAGGACAAGCAGCAGAGCCAUCUUUCAUGGUGACUUUUCCUGCCGUGAUUGAGUCAGGAUCUGAGGCCAAACUGUGUGCAAGUCUUCUGAAGCCCAAUGAAAGUCUCGUCAUGAACAUAUAUCUGGUUCAUGGGAACCAGAGCACAUUACUGCUGCAGGAGAAUGCUGAGCAAGAGUUUCACCGCUGCUUUAACUUCAAGGCCCCUCUAGCAGAAGCAGAAUCAGUGCAGAAAAUCAAGGUUGAACUUCAGGGAGAGUCCUUCAAGAUGACUGAGGAAAGAUAAGUCAUGUUCAAAUCUUACGAUCCUCUGACCUUUAUCCAGACUGAUAAACCCAUCUAUAUGCCUGGACAGAUUGUGAACUUCAGAGUUGUUACCAUGGAUACAAACUUUGCACCAGUUGAUCAGCAGUACAGUAUUAUCGUGCUUGAGGACAGUCGUACUAACAGGAUUGGUCAAUGGACAAAUGUUUCCUCAACAAGGUGGAUUUUGCAGCGCUCAUAUGAAUUAAACCCAGAAUGUCGUGAAGGCGCAUACAAACUAAAGGCUUUUAUUGGAGAAAGGAUGAUCUUACAUGAUUUUCAGGUGAAAAAAUACGUUUUGCCUAAGUUCGAAGUAACAUUAAAAAAACCAAAGACAGUGAGUGUUGUUGAGGAGGAACUGUUAAUUGAGGUUUGCGCAAAAUACACUUAUGGACAACCUGUGCCUGGUAAAUCAUGGGUAAAAGUGUGCCGUGAUCCUUUGCCCUACAUUUUUUUCUUUCCAUUGUGUUUAGGGGAAACCCUUGAGAUAACAAAGACUGGCUGUGCCAUCCAUAACUUUGGUUUAUCAAUGAUAUUGAACUCCACACUAAAGAAUAACUUAAAGGAUUCUCUUCAUGUUGAGGCAGUGGUUACAGAAGAAGGAACAGAGAUCACCAGGACAAAAUCUGAAUCUGUACAUCUCACUUAUGAAAUUGGCAAAGCCACACUUAUUGACCUGCCCAAAACAUAUGAACAUGGAUCAGUCAUAAAAGGAAAAAUCAAACUUUUCGAUUUUAAAGAUGCGCCAAUUCCAAACAAAGAGGUUUAUCUUUUAGAGGGUGAAAACUGGUCCUCCAAACUGCUCCUAAAUCUCACUACAGACAGUGAUGGACUGGCCAGCUUCUCUCUUAAUACAUCUAGUCUUUCUAAAAAAGACAUUUCUCUGAUUGCAAGUGUGUAUCCAGAUACCCGUUAUUAUGGCUACAAAACACCUUACUUCUCUACAGAUAAAAAAACAGUUCAACUCUUCCAGAUCGCCACUGCGUACUCCCCAACAUUAAGUGAACUGAUUAUAGAAGAUAUUGAGCAGCCGAUAAAGUGUGGCACUGAGAUUACAGCCACUGUGAAGUAUUAUUUUGUUGGCGAGACUGUUGAAGACUUCAGUACUGACAUUGUCUAUAUGGUCUUGUCCAGAGGAGUGAUCGUUCAUCAUGGAUUUGAGAAGGUUGAAGUGAAGUCUUCUUCUAAUGGAGUAGCAAGUGGCACAAUGUCCUUCAAACUGUCUGUUGGUGCAGAUUUGGCUCCUGUAGUGCAGAUUCUGGCAUACUGUGUUCUGCCCAGUGAAAAUGUUAUUGCUGCUAACAAAACAUUAGACACUGAAAAAUGUUUUGGUAAUAAGGUGUCUCUGCAGUUUUCUCCUGCUAAAGCAGUUCCUGGUGAGAAAAACACUCUCCAGCUCUCAGCUCAGCCUGGUUCACUGUGUGGCCUCAGUGCUGUAGAUCAGAGCGUCCUGAUCCUGGAGUCAGGAAAACGUCUGGAUGCUGACAAGAUUUUCAACCUGCUACCAGUUCAUUCGGUGUCAGAGUAUCCUUACAGUGUUGAAGAUGGGCAGGCAUGUCUGUAUAUAAGACCUCGUCGAUCUGUGCUGACAGACAACACCUAUGAAACCUUAAAGAGUGUGGGGCUGAAAAUGGCAACAAAUUUGGCUGUGCGAGUCCCUGAGUGUCUGUUAUACAGAGGCUUGACUUAUCACAAAAAUUUAGUGAUGUAUCGUCAGUAUGCUCCAGCACCCGGGAUGUUUGCUCAAGGAAUGGCUGGUGUUGAUGGACUGGUUGGAAAUUCUCCAUCAGUGACAAUUAGGACAGUCUUUCCAGAAACAUGGAUCUGGGAGCUUGCUGAAGUGGGAGACUCUGGAUCAGCUGAGGUUCCUGUCAAAGUUCCUGACACCAUCACCACUUGGGAAACAGAGGCCUUCUGUCUGUCCUCCACAGGUCUGGGCUUGGCUCCUCCUGCUCAACUGACAGUUUUCCAGCCCUUCUUCCUGGAGCUCUCUCUGCCUUACUCCAUCAUCCGUGGGGAGAUCUUUGAGCUCAAGGCCACUGUUUUCAAUUAUCUGUCCAAGUGCAUCAUGAUUAAAGUGAGUCCAGCUCCUUCCUCAGACUACUCUCUCAAAGCCUCCUCUGAUGAUCAGUAUUCAUCCUGUCUCUGUGCUAAUGGAAGAAAAACCUUUAAAUGGAUCCUCACUCCUUCUGUUCUUGGAGUGGUAAAUGUUACAGUUAGUGCAGAGGCAGAGGCGUCCCAGACUGUGUGUGACAAUGAGAUUGUGAGUGUGCCAGAGAGAGGACGCAUUGACAUCGUCACACGAAGUCUGCUUGUACAGGCUGAAGGAAUUGAAAAGACAGAGACCAACAGCUGGUUAUUGUGUCCAAAGGGUGACAGUCUCUCAGAGAAAGUGGAUCUUACUCUGCCUAAAGAUGUGAUAGAUGGAUCAGCAAAAUCCUCAGUUUCAGUCAUUGGAGACAUAUUGGGUCGUGUACUGCAGAAUCUUCAUGGAUUAUUACGGAUGCUGUACGGCUGUGGAGAACAAAACAUGGCUGUUCUUUCUCCCAAUAUUUACAUUCUGCAGUAUCUGGAGAACACAAAGCAGCUCACAUCAGCCAUCCGAGAGAAAGCCAGCAGCUUCCUUAAGAGUGGAUACCAGAGACAACUGAACUACAAGCAUUUUGAUGGGGCUUACAGCACAUUUGGUUAUGGUGAUGGAAACACAUGGUUGACUGCCUUUGUCCUGAGGUCUUUUGGCAAAGCUCAGAAAUACACAUUUAUUGAUCCACAAAUUAUUCAGAGUGCAAAGGAUUGGUUAAUAAGCAGACGGGAUUCAGACGGCUGUUUUAUCCAACAGGGAAGACUGUUUAACAACAGAAUGAAGGGUGGAGUGAAUGAUAAUGUGACCAUGACGGCCUACAUUACUGCAUCACUGCUUGAACUGGAAACUCCAGUCACAGAUCCUGUCAUCACUAAAGGUUUGUCAUGCUUGAGGUCCGUCAUCGAGGAAGUCAAAAACACUUACACCACUGCUCUGCUGGCCUACACUUUCAGUCUGGCUAGAGACACCAACACUCGAAAGCAGCUUUUCAGCAAACUGGAGGAUCUUGCUAUUUCAGAUGGUCCUCUUGUCCACUGGUCUCAGUCUGCAUCUGCUGAUGACUCUGCUUCUCUGGAUGUGGAGAUCAGCUCAUAUGUGCUGCUAGCUGUUCUCACUGCAGAUUCACUCACUACAGCUGAUUUGGGCUUUGCUAACAGGAUUGUCAGCUGGCUUGUGAAGCAGCAGAAUGCCUAUGGAGGAUUCUCCUCCACACAGGACACAGUGGUGGCUCUUCAGGCUCUGUCUUUGUACGCCACCAAAGUGUUCAGCUCUGACGGCUCCAGCACAGUGACUACAGUCAGCAGGAGACUCUCACCACUUUGAUGUCAAUCAGGACAACAAGUUACUGUACCAGGAGAAGCAGCUGGCCAAUGUGCCGGGCAAAUACAGCAUUGAAGUCAAGGGCUCAGCCUGUGUGUCUGUGCAGAUAGCUCAGUUUUACAACAUUCCCACUCCUACUGAAGCUAAAACAUUGAGCAUUGAUGCUAAGAUUGAAGGAGAUUGUGAAGCACUGGGACAAAAUUUCAUCUUCGACUUCACUGUCAAAUACGAUGGGCCAGAGGAAAAGACUAACAUGGCCAUUGUAGACAUUAAACUGUUAUCUGGAUUCACAGCUGAUACAUCUGCGCUUGGCACUUCUUCAGGAACAUAUGUAUCACUUGUGGAGCGGGUCGAUUCCAAAGAUGACCAUGUCAUUGUGUAUCUGAAGGAGAUCUAUAAAAAUGUUGCAAUGAAUUACCAGAUACAAAUGAAACAGGUUCUACCAGUUAAGAAUCUCAAGCCAGCUGUGGUCAAAGUGUAUGAUUACUACCAAACAAGUGAUCAAUCAGAGAUUGAAUACUCCUUCCACUGUGAAGCACUGAAGAACAUCAAUUAAUAUUUUUCAGUGGUGAAACAUGUUUAAGCAUUUAUUUGUUUAAUAUUAAAUAGUUUUUCUAUAUUCUGGGCAAAUUAAUUCCCACCUAUCAACCCAACCCAUCAUAUCUUAAGAAACUGAUUUAUUAAAUCACACACAUACAAAAAAUAUUACAUCAUGAUUUAACAUGAUUAUUAAAAGUGUUGAACCCUA